AGGCCUUUUGCUCUAACUUGAAGACCAGAAGGAGCUAGAACUUUAGAGUCUGGGGGAGGGGACGCUGCAGACGCCGUAAAGGGUCGCGCUGCGGGGCGUAGUGGUUGUGUGUGGGGCUGCUACCCACGAGGUCAGGAGUUCGAAACCACCAGCCGCUCCCUGAGCUGCCCUCUAGUGAGACUUGCCCCACGUACUUGGACAUGUCGCCAGGAGCGACAACGUGCUUGGUAACGUCGAAGGGCGGCGAAAAGGACAAGAUGAAAUGACACAGUGGUUGCGACAGUGGGCUUACACAUGACCUCUGUGCGGACGGGUCAGCCCCGGGCAGUGAUUCAUUCUGCCGUCCACAGGGUGACUGAGUCAGAGCCACCCUGAUGGCGCCCAACAACAACAACAACACAGUCAGCAGUCAGCUGUGCCUAGUGGUUGUCAGCCUCAUGCCAGUGGGCGACCAGCCUGCUGUCUGCCCUGUCAAUCUUGGGUUCUUCAACCCCUGCAGCCAUGUGAGACAGGAGACACCUCCAGCCUGACAUCUGACCCCAGGACUUGGAACUCCCAGGCCUCUGCAACUGAGUAAACCACUUAAUUUAGAUAAAUCUUUCUGUGUAUAUACAUGUAUAAACUCACUGGUUUUGCUUCACUAGAAGACCCAGCCUAACACAACACAAUUUUUAAAAAUUCAAUUGCCACUAACUAUGCAAUUGUGGAGUUUCCACUUCUCCGCCUAUUGGAAACGAUUCAUUUGUAAUGUAAUGAGAUGCCAAGAGGCAAAUAUCAAGAGAAAAGUCUAACCGAACUUGAUACAUACCUUCCAAGUAGUUAAUAAAAUCAUAUGCUCAUGAA
Molecule: long non-coding RNA, 843 nt
Organism: Echinops telfairi (small Madagascar hedgehog)
Lineage: Eukaryota; Metazoa; Chordata; Mammalia; Afrosoricida; Tenrecidae
Exons: 2
Source: RefSeq, a predicted model, not a curated record